RNAcentral lists this unclassified non-coding RNA (290 nucleotides) under uncultured fungus. Its description in RNAcentral is "sequence contains ITS2". The stretch from base 1 to 52 matches the Rfam family "5.8S ribosomal RNA", at positions 103 to 154 of the family's 154-position model. Lineage: Eukaryota; Fungi. The record is from RNAcentral.
AACGCAAAUUGCACUCCCUGGUAUUCCGGGGAGUAUGCCUGUUUGAGGGUCAGUUUAAUAAAAAUCGAUGUGUUGCUUUUUUGUAUCACCUCGGAAUUGGGUUUUCUUAGCCUUCGGGUUUUAAGAGACUUAAAAUUGAAUUUUUUGUGCAUUUUUAUAGACGUACAUAAGAUAUUUUUUUAUUCGUCUUGGAGUGCCAAAUUUAUUAGGUAUGAUCAUGUUGUGUGGUUUCGUACCUAUAAGCUUUAUCAUCUGACCUCAAAUCAGGUAGGGACACCCGCUGAACUUAA